UAGUGCAGUGGAUUUAAUCUCCACAAAUAAAGUUUCACACUUUUUUUAGAAACAUU
This 56-nucleotide transfer RNA is filed under the name Mantis religiosa (praying mantis). RNAcentral describes it as "partial tRNA-Leu". The record is from RNAcentral. Lineage: Eukaryota; Metazoa; Arthropoda; Insecta; Mantodea; Mantidae.